This 324-nucleotide ribosomal RNA is filed under the name uncultured Acidobacteriota bacterium. RNAcentral describes it as "bacterial SSU rRNA". It matches the Rfam family "Bacterial small subunit ribosomal RNA", at positions 32 to 351 of the family's 1533-position model. Lineage: Bacteria; Pseudomonadati; Acidobacteriota. The record is from RNAcentral.
AAUCAACGCUGGCGGCGUGCCUAACACAUGCAAGUCGAACGCGAAAGUCCCGCAAGGGGCGAGUAGAGUGGCGCACGGGUGAGUAACACGUGGAUAACCUGCCUUCGAGUGAGGAAUAACCUUCCGAAAGGAGGGCUAAUACCGCAUAACACCUUGAGACAAAAGUUUUGAGGUUAAAAGGAGCAAUUCGCUGGAAGAGGGGUCCGCGCCUGAUUAGCUAGUUGGUGAGGUAACGGCUCACCAAGGCUGUGAUCAGUAGCCGUCCUGAGAGGGAGCACGGCCACACUGGAACUGAGACACGGUCCAGACUCCUACGGGUGGCUG